Molecule: small RNA, 120 nt
Filed under: Marmota monax (woodchuck)
Lineage: Eukaryota; Metazoa; Chordata; Mammalia; Rodentia; Sciuridae
Source: RNAcentral
GCUGGACACGGUGGUGCACGCCUAUAAUCCCAGCAGCUGGGAGGCUGAGACAGGAGGAUCUUGAGUUCAAAGCUAGCCUGAGCAAUGGCGAAGCACUAAGCAACUCAGACCCUGUCUCUA